UGUGAAGCCAUGUUCUAUAGUAAAGUUCCUCAAGAGUUUGAAAUCCUGCAUGUUAUAGCCCCACCAAAAGUGAAUUUUGACUUGGUCUUGUAUUGAAAGCUAUUAAAUACAAUUAAUAUAAAUCAACAAUUAUAGCACAUUGUUUUGUUAUUUCUAAAAGAAGACUCCUGAAACCAUUUGUUUCAUAGUUUAGACAAUGAACACUCUAUAUAUUUAUAGGAUUCCUCUUAGAAAACCAAAUGGAGAAAACAAAAACAGUGGACACACUAUAGCUAAGGGAAGAUAGAAAAUUUUUGGGACCUACACCAUCAGACGGAGACGCAACUGCUUUUAUUCACCAAAGGUAAUCCACACAAAUUUCAAAGCCGAUAAUUCAUUUAGAAUUAACUGUAACAAACACAAGCAUUUUCUAGCAUUUCAGUUUGUCAGAAAUUUUUAGAAAAAUCGUUUUAGCAUGGCACGAAAAUUGUAAAUUUAUAUGAAAAACCAAUUCAAGAGAGCAAAUAGUACUUUCACAUACCAGGAUACUGUAGAGAAGACCAAAAGAUUGACUCACCUUGAUUUAUAAAAAUAUCAUAGAACAUCUCAAAUUUAUUAAAGAAGGCAGCCAUGACAUCUUCUCUUCUAAACUCAUUAGGAGUAGUAGAAAGCUCUUUUAGUACUGUAUUCAAACAUGUUGUUGGUUUCUCAUUACCAACAUUAAAA
RNAcentral lists this long non-coding RNA (705 nucleotides) under Gossypium barbadense (sea-island cotton). Its description in RNAcentral is "long non-coding RNA (GBAR_LNC003945)". The record is from RNAcentral. Lineage: Eukaryota; Viridiplantae; Streptophyta; Magnoliopsida; Malvales; Malvaceae.